RNAcentral lists this ribosomal RNA (413 nucleotides) under Pristimantis aff. malkini 2 AF-2022. RNAcentral's name for it is "partial large subunit ribosomal RNA". It matches the Rfam family "Bacterial large subunit ribosomal RNA", at positions 1836 to 2457 of the family's 2925-position model. Lineage: Eukaryota; Metazoa; Chordata; Amphibia; Anura; Strabomantidae. The record is from RNAcentral.
CUUGACUCUAUAAGAGGUCUAGCCUGCCCAGUGACCUAGUUCAACGGCCGCGGUAUCCUAACCGUGCGAAGGUAGCGUAAUCACUUGUCUUCUAAAUAAAGACUAGUAUGAAAGGCACCACGAGAACUAAACUGUCUCCCUUUUCCAAUCAGUGAACCUAAUGCCCUCGUGAAGAAACGGGGAUUUUAAAAUAAGACGAGAAGACCCUAUGGAGCUUUAAACAUCAUAAUCACCUGCCUACUAAACCAAGAUACUCAGGUCCCCCGCCCAAACCCAUGAUGAUUAUAUGUUUUUGGUUGGGGUGACCGCGGAGAAAAACACAUCCCCCGCGAUGAAAGCCCACCCAAACAACAAGCCACAGCUUUAUGUAUCAACAAAUUGACACUAUUGACCCAAUAUAUUGAUUAACGAAC